This 109-nucleotide ribosomal RNA is filed under the name Aurelia cf. 2 KMB-2016. Its description in RNAcentral is "partial 5.8S ribosomal RNA". It matches the Rfam family "5.8S ribosomal RNA", at positions 1 to 109 of the family's 154-position model. Rfam says of the family: 5.8S ribosomal RNA (5.8S rRNA) is a component of the large subunit of the eukaryotic ribosome. Lineage: Eukaryota; Metazoa; Cnidaria; Scyphozoa; Semaeostomeae; Ulmaridae. The record is from RNAcentral.
AACUUCUAACGGUGGAUCUCUUGGCUCGUGCAUCAAUGAAGAACGCAGCCAGCUGCGAUAAGUAGUGUGAAUUGCAGAACUCAGCGAAUCAUCGAAUCUUUGAACGCAA